This 162-nucleotide ribosomal RNA is filed under the name Staphylococcus agnetis. RNAcentral describes it as "partial 16S ribosomal RNA". It matches the Rfam family "Bacterial small subunit ribosomal RNA", at positions 1 to 157 of the family's 1533-position model. Lineage: Bacteria; Bacillati; Bacillota; Bacilli; Caryophanales; Staphylococcaceae. The record is from RNAcentral.
UUUAUGGAGAGUUUGAUCCUGGCUCAGGAUGAACGCUGGCGGCGUGCCUAAUACAUGCAAGUCGAGCGAACUGACGAGGAGCUUGCUCCUUUGACGUUAGCGGCGGACGGGUGAGUAACACGUGGGUAACCUACCUAUAAGACUGGAAUAACUCCGGGGAAA